Molecule: transfer RNA, 69 nt
Filed under: Pentacheles validus
Lineage: Eukaryota; Metazoa; Arthropoda; Malacostraca; Decapoda; Polychelidae
Description: tRNA-Asp
Source: RNAcentral
GAAAAAUUAGUUAAAUUUUUUUUUAUAACAUAAGUUUGUCAAGCUUAAAUUAUCCCAAGAUAUUUUUCA